Molecule: ribosomal RNA, 408 nt
Filed under: uncultured bacterium
Lineage: Bacteria
Description: bacterial SSU rRNA
Rfam family: Bacterial small subunit ribosomal RNA
Source: RNAcentral
GUGUCAGCCGCGCGGUAAUACGGAGGAUCCGAGCGUUAUCCGGAUUUAUUGGGUUUAAAGGGAGCGUAGAUGGAUGUUUAAGUCAGUUGUGAAAGUUUGCGGCUCAACCGUAAAAUUGCAGUUGAUACUGGAUAUCUUGAGUGCAGUUGAGGCAGGCGGAAUUCGUGGUGUAGCGGUGAAAUGCUUAGAUAUCACGAAGAACUCCGAUUGCGAAGGCAGCCUGCUAAGCUGCAACUGACAUUGAGGCUCGAAAGUGUGGGUAUCAAACAGGAUUAGAUACCCUGGUAGUCCACACGGUAAACGAUGAAUACUCGCUGUUUGCGAUAUACAGCAAGCGGCCAAGCGAAAGCGUUAAGUAUUCCACCUGGGGAUACGCCGGCAACGGUGAAACUCAAAGGAAUUGACGGG